This 1428-nucleotide ribosomal RNA is filed under the name Salmonella enterica. Its description in RNAcentral is "bacterial SSU rRNA". The record is from RNAcentral. Lineage: Bacteria; Pseudomonadati; Pseudomonadota; Gammaproteobacteria; Enterobacterales; Enterobacteriaceae.
AAAUUGAAGAGUUUGAUCAUGGCUCAGAUUGAACGCUGGCGGCAGGCCUAACACAUGCAAGUCGAACGGUAACAGGAAGCAGCUUGCUGCUUYGCUGACGAGUGGCGGACGGGUGAGUAAUGUCUGGGAAACUGCCUGAUGGAGGGGGAUAACUACUGGAAACGGUGGCUAAUACCGCAUAACGUCGCAAGACCAAAGAGGGGGACCUUCGGGCCUCUUGCCAUCAGAUGUGCCCAGAUGGGAUUAGCUUGUUGGUGAGGUAACGGCUCACCAAGGCGACGAUCCCUAGCUGGUCUGAGAGGAUGACCAGCCACACUGGAACUGAGACACGGUCCAGACUCCUACGGGAGGCAGCAGUGGGGAAUAUUGCACAAUGGGCGCAAGCCUGAUGCAGCCAUGCCGCGUGUAUGAAGAAGGCCUUCGGGUUGUAAAGUACUUUCAGCGGGGAGGAAGGUGUUGUGGUUAAUAACCGCAGCAAUUGACGUUACCCGCAGAAGAAGCACCGGCUAACUCCGUGCCAGCAGCCGCGGUAAUACGGAGGGUGCAAGCGUUAAUCGGAAUUACUGGGCGUAAAGCGCACGCAGGCGGUCUGUCAAGUCGGAUGUGAAAUCCCCGGGCUCAACCUGGGAACUGCAUUCGAAACUGGCAGGCUUGAGUCUUGUAGAGGGGGGUAGAAUUCCAGGUGUAGCGGUGAAAUGCGUAGAGAUCUGGAGGAAUACCGGUGGCGAAGGCGGCCCCCUGGACAAAGACUGACGCUCAGGUGCGAAAGCGUGGGGAGCAAACAGGAUUAGAUACCCUGGUAGUCCACGCCGUAAACGAUGUCUACUUGGAGGUUGUGCCCUUGAGGCGUGGCUUCCGGAGCUAACGCGUUAAGUAGACCGCCUGGGGAGUACGGCCGCAAGGUUAAAACUCAAAUGAAUUGACGGGGGCCCGCACAAGCGGUGGAGCAUGUGGUUUAAUUCGAUGCAACGCGAAGAACCUUACCUGGUCUUGACAUCCACAGAAGAAUCCAGAGAUGGAUUUGUGCCUUCGGGAACUGUGAGACAGGUGCUGCAUGGCUGUCGUCAGCUCGUGUUGUGAAAUGUUGGGUUAAGUCCCGCAACGAGCGCAACCCUUAUCCUUUGUUGCCAGCGGUUAGGCCGGGAACUCAAAGGAGACUGCCAGUGAUAAACUGGAGGAAGGUGGGGAUGACGUCAAGUCAUCAUGGCCCUUACGACCAGGGCUACACACGUGCUACAAUGGCGCAUACAAAGAGAAGCGACCUCGCGAGAGCAAGCGGACCUCAUAAACGUCACACCAUGGGAGUGGGUUGCAAAAGAAGUAGGUAGCUUAACCUUCGGGAGGGCGCUUACCACUUUGUGAUUCAUGACUGGGGUGAAGUCGUAACAAGGUAACCGUAGGGGAACCUGCGGUUGGAUCACCUCCUUA